RNAcentral lists this transfer RNA (85 nucleotides) under Subsaximicrobium wynnwilliamsii. RNAcentral describes it as "tRNA-Leu". It matches the Rfam family "tRNA". From Rfam's summary of the family: Transfer RNA (tRNA) molecules are approximately 80 nucleotides in length. The record is from RNAcentral. Lineage: Bacteria; Pseudomonadati; Bacteroidota; Flavobacteriia; Flavobacteriales; Flavobacteriaceae.
GCAGGUGUGGUGGAAUUGGUAGACACGUUAGACUUAGGAUCUAAUGCAGCGAUGUGUGGGAGUUCGAGUCUCCCCACCUGUACAA